This 640-nucleotide ribosomal RNA is filed under the name uncultured Actinomycetes bacterium. RNAcentral's name for it is "bacterial SSU rRNA". It matches the Rfam family "Bacterial small subunit ribosomal RNA", at positions 108 to 764 of the family's 1533-position model. Lineage: Bacteria; Bacillati; Actinomycetota; Actinomycetes. The record is from RNAcentral.
GCGUAACACGUGAGAAACCUGCCCCCCAGACCGGGAUAGCCCAGGGAAACUUGGAUUAAUACCGGAUACUCUCUCGGGACCGCAUGGUCCCUUGAGGAAAUGGUCCGCUGCUGGGGGAUGGUCUCGCGGCCUAUCAGGUUGUUGGUGAGGUAACGGCUCACCAAGCCGAAGACGGGUAGCUGGUCUGAGAGGACGAUCAGCCACACUGGAACUGAGACACGGUCCAGACUCCUACGGGAGGCAGCAGCAGGGAAUAUUGCACAAUGGGCGAAAGCCUGAUGCAGCGACGCCGCGUGCGGGAUGAAGGCCUUCGGGUUGUAAACCGCUUUCAGGAGGGAAGAAACUGACGGUACCUCCAGAAGAAGCUCCGGCCAACUACGUGCCAGCAGCCGCGGUAAUACGUAGGGAGCGAACGUUGUCCGGAAUUAUUGGGCGUAAAGGGCUCGUAGGCGGUUCAACAAGUCGGCCGUGAAAGCCCGGGGCUCAACCCCGGGACGCCGGUCGAUACUGUUGUGACUCGAGUUCGGUAGAGGUGAGUGGAAUUCUCAGUGUAGCGGUGGAAUGCGCAGAUAUUGAGAGGAACACCAUUAGCGAAGGCGGCUCACUGGGCCGAUACUGACGCUGAGGAGCGAAAGCGUGG